CCUACGGGUGGCAGCAGUGGGGAAUAUUGGGCAAUGGGCGCAAGCCUGACCCAGCAACGCCGCGUGAAGGAAGAAGGCUUUCGGGUUGUAAACUUCUUUUCACAGGGACGAAGCGAGUGACGGUACCUGAGGAUUAAGCCACGGCUAACUACGUGCCAGCAGCCGCGGUAUUACGUAGGUGGCAGGCGUUAUCCGGAUUUACUGGGUGUAAAGGGCGUGUAGGCGGGACUGCAAGUCAGAUGUGAAAGCCACGGGCUCAACCUGUGGCCUGCAUUUGACACUGUAGUUCUUGAGUACUGGAGAGGCAGACGGAAUUCCUAGUGUAGCGGUGAAAUGCGUAGAUAUUAGGAAGAACACCAGUGGCGAAGGCGGUUUGCUGGACAGGAACUGACGAUGAGGCGCGAAAGCGUGGGGAGCAAACAGGAUUAGAUACCCUAGUAGUC
RNAcentral lists this ribosomal RNA (443 nucleotides) under uncultured bacterium. RNAcentral describes it as "partial 16S ribosomal RNA". It matches the Rfam family "Bacterial small subunit ribosomal RNA", at positions 338 to 795 of the family's 1533-position model. The record is from RNAcentral.